UACGUAGGGUGCAAGCGUUGUCCGGAAUUAUUGGGCGUAAAGAGCUCGUAGGCGGUCUGUCGCGUCUGCUGUGAAAACUCAGGGCUUAACCCUGAGCUUGCAGUGGGUACGGGCAGACUAGAGUGCGGUAGGGGAGACUGGAAUUCCUGGUGUAGCGGUGAAAUGCGCAGAUAUCAGGAGGAACACCGGUGGCGAAGGCGGCAUCCUGGACCGGCACUGACGCUGAUGAGCGAAAGCCAGGGGAGCAAACGGG
RNAcentral lists this ribosomal RNA (253 nucleotides) under uncultured bacterium. Its description in RNAcentral is "partial 16S ribosomal RNA". It matches the Rfam family "Bacterial small subunit ribosomal RNA", at positions 524 to 776 of the family's 1533-position model. The record is from RNAcentral.